GGUUGAUCCUGCCGGACCCCACUGCUAUCGGGAUGGGGCUAAGACAUGCUAGUCGAGCGUCUCCAAGCCAUGGUGGAGGCGCGGCACACAGCUCAGUAACAUGUGGCUAACCUGUCCUUGGGACAGGGACAACCCCGGGAAAGUGGGGCUAAUCCCUGAUAGGUGAGAACUCCUGGAAUGGAUUCUCGCUCAAAGGGCGUNUAGGUCAUGUUUCUAUGUGUUGCCCAAUGACGAGGCCAGCGCCCGAUCAGGUUGUUGGCUCAGGUACUCGUACACCAUGUCUUUACCCGGGACCGGCC
This 299-nucleotide ribosomal RNA is filed under the name uncultured archaeon. Its description in RNAcentral is "partial 16S ribosomal RNA". It matches the Rfam family "Archaeal small subunit ribosomal RNA", at positions 6 to 275 of the family's 1478-position model. The record is from RNAcentral.